This 76-nucleotide transfer RNA is filed under the name Shigella boydii. Its description in RNAcentral is "tRNA-Thr". It matches the Rfam family "tRNA". From Rfam's summary of the family: Transfer RNA (tRNA) molecules are approximately 80 nucleotides in length. Their secondary structure includes four short double-helical elements and three loops (D, anti-codon, and T loops). Lineage: Bacteria; Pseudomonadati; Pseudomonadota; Gammaproteobacteria; Enterobacterales; Enterobacteriaceae. The record is from RNAcentral.
GCCGACUUAGCUCAGUAGGUAGGGCAACUGACUUGUAAUCAGUAGGUCACUAGUUCGAUUCCGGUAGUCGGCACCA